Non-coding RNA from Anas platyrhynchos (mallard), 907 nucleotides. Lineage: Eukaryota; Metazoa; Chordata; Aves; Anseriformes; Anatidae. The record is from RefSeq and is a predicted model, not a curated record.
AUGAAACCUAUCCUAACAGACACCCAAGAGAGAGGCCAGUCACCUGUUGCUGAAACAUGCUGGUGAAGGGCGAAUGGGAAGGAAGCAGCAGCAGCAGCACCUCAGAAACAUAACCAAAAUGACUAGUGCUUUACUGCUAAUAAGAAAGCAGAGAUGACUCACUACUACUAAAGAACCUGCUUGGUUUUGGGAUGCAGAAAGAAGAACUGCUUUCUUAUCACUUGAGGAUAAAGUUUCAUUCUUUAUUUUUCACCUGAACCUAGUGUCAACAAUUGUUUUAUAGUUAACUCCUGUCAAAUUGCAAUCUCUGGUAAGGUUUUGUAAUACCUUAGAGCCGAUAGAAAUUAAAGGAUAAAGAACCAAUUAGUUAAACACUCCAUACAGUGAUUAUGUUUGCUGACCUUGUGUCAGAACAUUAUCACACAGAUACGUAGUGGUACAAAUGGCUGACAGCUGGGCAGGAUCACUCCAUUAUCAGGAGGCCAGAGAAUCUCCCUGCCCCAGGAGCCAUAGUAAGUAAUAUAAGGACCUCUUGGUUUGAGAAAGGAUAGACUUUGAGUCUUUGGGAUCCUGGGGUGGGGAUUGACUUCUACAAGUUUGUGAAGAGUUAAUAUAAGCUAAACUUCUGGGAGUAUGCUAGCUUUAACAGUAUCUGCAGCUGUAUCUAGAACCCAUGUCUCUUUGGAGGGAUGUACACUUUAGUAGUUGGGUUUCUUGUGUGUCUGUCUGCUGAACCACCUCAUCACAGGAAUGAAAAUUUAAACUCUGAUUUGAAUCAACUAUUGGAAGAACUUAUCAGGGAAAUGGAUAGGCUGAUGGAUAUCAGCUGCUAUCUCUACAUCAAGGUGAGUUUUUCCAAAGGUAUUAGACUUCUCUCUUUUAUUUUUCUAUCUUUCUUGAAGUGGUA